GGCAAUGACCUUCAGGGAGGCCUGAAGACUACGGAGCCCUCCGGACCAGCAACCUCUGACCUUUACCCUUGGGGAGGUGGGGGAAGUCACUAGGAAAGGGAAACAAUAGGAGGAAUCAAAAUGGCUGCCUCAGAGCCCCAGGGGAUCUGGACACACAGGCUGGUUCUCUGGGCACCUCCAUCCCCUUCCUGCCUCAGGGAUGUGAAGGAAAUGAAAUUGUGGACUGGACUCUGGCUCAUUCACCUCUCCCCUGGAGCUCCCAGCUCCUUAGGGCUUUGUCUCCCUGUCCCUGUCAUGACAGUGAGCAGGGGCCAGUUAAUCUAAUUUCUUCAGAAGCCGAGAAGCAGCUGAAGGUGAGCCCCUGCUCUCUAACCCCGUCACCAGAACUCCCUGACUUCUGCACACACUUCCGCCCCAGGUGCCGACCAUCCUCCGGUUCCCACCCUUCCCUGUCUCCCUUAAUACAAGGAAUGGGACACGGGUGAGGUGGCACGUGAGCACAGCCAGUGGGCUCCUUUCUCUGCCCGCUCAGUGAGGGCGGCAUCGAGGAGGGAGGAGGCGACUGGUCUGUGGGGUAGCGGUGGGGGCAGGGCUGUGGGAGUGAAGCCCACCUCCAGAGGGCAGGCCCUGGCUGAGAAGAGCGGGCAGCCUGGGCAGGUGACAGGAUCCGCAGGGCGGGGGGUUGAGCACGUAAGCCCUCCGGUGAGCUCAGGUGGUCUCCCCACAGUUGCGUGGAGCCUUGUUACCAAGGAAGCAGCUCCUGUUGGGAUCAUCAGAUUUUUGGUCUAGCUCAGCAAAGCCACAGCUGCUCCGGCCUUAGAAAAGGAGAUGUUGCUCUGCGGGCUUCCAGGGUGAGCAGCUGGCCAGGCUCUCCCGACCUGCCCCCGACAGCGUCCUCGCGCCCCCUGCUGGCAGAGACGGGGGAAGGACCCGGGAGUGCGCGGUGUGCGCGUGCGCAUGUUUGCUUCCCCAUGGGUGCCCUCCCUGGCCGCAGUCAAACACACACCAGGAGGCUUUGACUUCAGCUUCAGUAAUAAAAAUUUAUUGAGAA
Non-coding RNA from Odocoileus virginianus texanus, 1051 nucleotides. Lineage: Eukaryota; Metazoa; Chordata; Mammalia; Artiodactyla; Cervidae. The record is from RefSeq and is a predicted model, not a curated record.